RNAcentral lists this long non-coding RNA (798 nucleotides) under Homo sapiens (human). RNAcentral's name for it is "HSALNT0299452". The record is from RNAcentral. Lineage: Eukaryota; Metazoa; Chordata; Mammalia; Primates; Hominidae.
UUGGGGAGGGUGCUGAGUAAGGCAAUGGGUACUGAGCAAGGCAAUGGGAAGGGGGCUAGUGGGUUGGGAAUGUGGUGUCUUGAGACACACACUGAGAUGUACUUUCAAAUGAAGUCUGGAACUGCAGAUAUAUUUAGCGAGUUGAGACUGGCAAGGGCAGGACGUCAUAGAGAAAAUACAUGGAAUAAAAUGAGAAAAAGAGAAGUGGGGAAAGUGAUAGGGCAGAAAACUCUAAGAAAUUUCUGACAUGCAAGGAAAAGAAAUUUCUGACACAGAGAAAAUACAUGGAAUAAAAUGAGAAAAAGAGAAGUGGGGAAAGUGAUAGGGCAGAAAACUCUAAGAAAUUUCUGACAUACAUGGAAUAAAAUGAGAAAAAGAGAAGUGGGGAAAGUGAUAGGGCAGAAAACUCUAAGAAAUUUCUGACAUGCAAGGAAAAGAUGAAACAAAAAGAGGUCAAAUAUGUAAGAGCAGAAAGCUGUCCUUUAAGUUCUGAGAACUAAGAGGAGUGGAGUGACCUAAAAAGCGAGUGGUGGGAGCAAAAGUAAGCUGCAGGGACCCAGGAGGAGCAACAGGAGAGGUGGAGGUGGCAGCCUUCCUUUUUCUCAUCAAAAGAAUUGUUAAACAGAGGUUCCCAGAAAGUCUGUGCACAGUGGAGAUGCCGAAUACCAUAAAGUACUGAAAGAAGAAGCAUCAGAUAGUAGAGAGAACAAAGUUGGAACGACCUGGCUUCAAAUCCUGAGUGGCUCCUUUGCUAGCCGUGUGACUGAGCACAUUACUCAGCCUUUGCAAGAGUCAGUU